Molecule: long non-coding RNA, 882 nt
Organism: Helicoverpa zea (corn earworm)
Lineage: Eukaryota; Metazoa; Arthropoda; Insecta; Lepidoptera; Noctuidae
Exons: 2
Source: RefSeq, a predicted model, not a curated record
CCCACUGUCUUUGGGAAGACGGGUUGCUGGGUAAAUUUUCGUUCGGGCAAGUAAUUUUCCAUGCAUCCAUAGCCUCGGCUAAAUACGGCACCUCGAAAUCAGCCAGUGUUGGAGUAAGUAUAUUCCUGGUUAAUUUCUCAGUGCCGUGAACUGAGGAUAUGAAUGCCGGUAAACUAAUACUGGUAAUUUUGCGGACGCCGAGACCUCCCAUGUGUGUUAAUUAUUAUUCUAGUAUUCAGGAUAACUCGCCCUAUGAUUUUGUUUCUACGCGAGCUAAAUUCUAGAUUUGAACUGUCAAGUCUGUGUCAUUCGAAACUAUAGUUAUAUGUCAAUGUUCGAAACCGUGUACCUGUCAAAUCAUCCAUCAGUAAAGUAAGUCAAAGUCAAAACACUAACCUAACUUUUCGAAAUCUUCAUAAAAGAUAGUUUUGGGGUUAUUUAUGAAAUAAAACAGGCACAAUGCAAAGACUUAUGUCCGUUUUGAAAAUAUUGACACCUAUAAGGAGUUUUCCAAUCAGCCAUGUACCGCUAUUGUCGAAAUUCAGCACAUUUCAACAUGUUAUUCGGCAGCCACUGUUACAGCCAUCUCUCCCAAUGAUCAAUCCAGUUUGUGGUUUCAAAGUAAAGGGUCGCCUGAGACGACGCUGUAAAUCAUGCUAUUUUGUUGUUAGAGAUGAAAGGUUGUAUGUAAUCUGUCCAAAGUCUCCCCGUCAUAAACAGAUGGCAAUGAAACCUAAACCGUUAAAUACAUGGAUCUUAACACAUGCUAGCCAGAGUCCAGUGCGACCAUGGUAACAUUUACUCUUAACUAUAAGCAAAAGAAAAGUGUUUUAAUUAUCUUGUUUUAGUUGAUUUUAGUAAUUAAAUAAUUUUAGUAUCUAA